UCCCCCCUGCCACCGAGCCCCGCUACAAAGGUUCCGCUUGAGAGGGAGAGCUGCGGUAAUAGAGGCCUUGGCUCUUUGUUUCUUGGCACUUCUUUUCUGUGACUUGGGGGAGUCUGAGAAUAAGGCACUAACCCACACAAGUAUUAUACACUGACUGACACAACCCAGUCCCAAAAGUGCUUACAGAGAUGUAAACCUAAUAGGACUUGACUCCCUCGUAGUGAACAUAGAGGAUUGCAGCUGCUGCUGCUGCACACAAUAGGUUCUCGUGCUUUUAAAAGCUGUGUAAAAAGCAAAAAUUCAGCAGGUGAAGCUUCCUCCUUCACUGAACCAACAUGCUUCUACAAAGAGGGCUUGAAACAGGUGAAUACAUAAAUGACUUCUACAAAAAGGGCUUGAAACAGGUGAAGAAACGCUGGCAAAAAUGUGUGACUCUGCAGGGAGACUACGUGGAGAAGAACUAACUUUGACCACUGCAAGUGACUAUUGUAUGUUUUUUAUUUCAUGGUGAUAAUUAAAACUUUUGGAUACCCCCUCGUAUCUUUCAGAAUAAAAUAUUAUAGAGAUUAUUAUUGUACUCGCAUAACGAUUGCAUAAUGAGAUAUUGAUUCUCAAGAUAUUACACUAUUGUAUAUUCUGUGCAGGUCAAAUAGUAUGAUUUCUCUGUCAAUACGAUAGUGUGACUUUGAGUGUCAUGAACAAGUUGGAUGAAGUGGGAUAUACACAUUUAUAAAUCAAUGCAGUAAUGGUAGAGUUGCUACUAUUGGAAAGAUUUUGCUGCCCAUAUAUGAUAUGACAUGGGUUUUUCUGCCCAUACAUGAUACAGUAAAAAGAAAAUAAAAAUACUUAUUUAAAUAUU
Molecule: long non-coding RNA, 859 nt
Organism: Hemicordylus capensis (graceful crag lizard)
Lineage: Eukaryota; Metazoa; Chordata; Lepidosauria; Squamata; Cordylidae
Exons: 2
Source: RefSeq, a predicted model, not a curated record